RNAcentral lists this ribosomal RNA (439 nucleotides) under uncultured bacterium. Its description in RNAcentral is "partial 16S ribosomal RNA". It matches the Rfam family "Bacterial small subunit ribosomal RNA", at positions 338 to 795 of the family's 1533-position model. The record is from RNAcentral.
ACUACGGGAGGCAGCAGUGGGGAAUAUUGCACAAUGGGCGAAAGCCUGAUGCAGCAACGCCGCGUGAGCGAUGAAGGCCUUCGGGUCGUAAAGCUCUGUCCUCAAGGAAGAUAAUGACGGUACUUGAGGAGGAAGCCCCGGCUAACUACGUGCCAGCAGCGGCGGUAAUACGUAGGGGGCUAGCGUUAUCCGGAAUUACUUGGCGUAAAGGGUGCGUAGGUGGUUUCUUAAGUCAGAGGUGAAAGGCUAGGGCUCAACCGUAGUAAGCCUUUGAAACUGGGGAACUUGAGUGCAGGAGAGGAGAGUGGAAUUCCUAGUGUAGCGGUGAAAUGCGUAGAUAUUAGGAGGAACACCAGUUGCGAAGGCGGCUCUCUGGACUGUAACUGACACUGAGGCACGAAAGCGUGGGGAGCAAACAGGAUUAGAUACCCUAGUAGUC